UCAAAGGUUGCGUGCUUCCGGGA
RNAcentral lists this non-coding RNA (23 nucleotides) under Rattus norvegicus (Norway rat). The record is from RNAcentral. Lineage: Eukaryota; Metazoa; Chordata; Mammalia; Rodentia; Muridae.